CCUACGGGUGGCAGCAGUAGGGAAUCUUCGUCAAUGGGCGCAAGCCUGAACGAGCGAUGCCGCGUGAGUGAAGAAGGCCUUCGGCUCGUAAAGCUCUGUUGCUGGGGAAGAAAGGCCGCAUGAGGAACUGUUUACUGACUGAUGGUACCCCGCCAGAAAGUCACGGCUAACUACGUGCCAGCAGCCGCGGUAAUACGUAGGUGGCAAGCGUUAUCCGGAUUGAUUGGGCGUAAAGCGAGCGCAGGCGGUUGCUUAGGUCUGAGGUGAAAGCCUUCGGCUUAACCGAAGAAGUGCAUCGGAAACCGGGCGACUUGAGGGCAGAAGAGUACAGUGGAACACCAUGUGUAGCGGGGGAAUGCGUAGAGAUAUGGAAGAACACCAGUGGCGAAGGCGGAUGUCUGGUCUGCAACUGACGCUGAGGCUCGAAAGCAUGGGUAGCGAACAGGAUUAGAUACCCGAGUAGUC
RNAcentral lists this ribosomal RNA (465 nucleotides) under uncultured bacterium. Its description in RNAcentral is "partial 16S ribosomal RNA". It matches the Rfam family "Bacterial small subunit ribosomal RNA", at positions 338 to 795 of the family's 1533-position model. The record is from RNAcentral.